This 291-nucleotide long non-coding RNA is filed under the name Brassica napus (rape). Its description in RNAcentral is "long non-coding RNA (BNAP_LNC024109)". Lineage: Eukaryota; Viridiplantae; Streptophyta; Magnoliopsida; Brassicales; Brassicaceae. The record is from RNAcentral.
UCGGGGGGGGGAAGAGAGAGAGAGAGAGAGAGAGAGAGAGAGAGAGAGAGAGAGAGAGAGAGAGAUGGUCUUUGACUGGAAUCAAAGGCUAUGAACUAGUUGGCAUUAGAUGAAGACGAAGAGGCGUGUUCCGAUUGGUGAACCUCUUGUAAUUCUCAAUGAAUGAGAAUAUAUCUACUCAGAACCUCAUGGAUUCAUCAAGUAAUGACGGAAAAUAUGCGGCCGAUGAUACCAACUUUAAAUCCCGCUUCUUUGAUUUCUUCUUUUUCUUUUUUUCCUUCUCAGAUCGAA